Molecule: ribosomal RNA, 305 nt
Filed under: uncultured bacterium
Lineage: Bacteria
Description: partial 16S ribosomal RNA
Rfam family: Bacterial small subunit ribosomal RNA
Source: RNAcentral
ACAGCAGCAGCCACGGUAAUACAGAGGCCUCAAGCGUUGUUCGGAAUCACUGGGCGUAAAGGGUGCGUAGGCGGACUCUUAAGUCGGGGGUGAAAGCCCAGGGCUCAACCCUGGAAUUGCCUUCGAUACUGGGAGUCUUGAGUUCGGAAGAGGUUGGUGGAACUGCGAGUGUAGCGGUGAAAUGCGUAGAGAUGUGGAGGAACACCAGUGGCGAAGGCGACUCUCUGGUCUGUAACUGACGCUGAGGAGCGAAAGCGUGGGGAGCGAACAGGAUUAGAUACCCGUGUAGUCCCUGUCUCUUAUAC